Molecule: long non-coding RNA, 975 nt
Organism: Bactrocera latifrons
Lineage: Eukaryota; Metazoa; Arthropoda; Insecta; Diptera; Tephritidae
Exons: 3
Source: RefSeq, a predicted model, not a curated record
AGAAGAAACUGCAAAUUUGAGCAUAAAGUUAAAAGUGUAAAAAAUAUAAUUAAUUAAUGCCAAAUUAAGUGUGUGCUGUAGUGAAGUUAAGUGUAGUGAUUAUUUUACAAAACGUUUAAGCAAUGAAGAAGUGCUAGCGUUGUUGUUCAAUUCCCACAAAAGCCGUUUGUACGUUACUAAAAUUUACCCGGAUAUUAUCCGGCAAAGGUGCACUUUCGGAGAUAUGUAUAACCUCGUUUAGAUCGAGUAUCCAGUUCAGAGCUGCUCACUGUUUUUAGUUGGCAGUUAUAUUUACUGUGCUGCAAAACAAACACAGAAUAAAAACAACACAACAAAAGUAUUCGCAACGCAUUUCUACAUCUUAUGUACUCUUCUUUCUCUGCCACCGAAACACAUAAUUGCAGAAACAUGAAUGGUUUGUUGUUGGAAACGGUAGCAAACAUUAAGCAGUGGGGUGAGAGACUGCGUGUUGUUGUGCUAAUACACUAAUUAAGAGAUCAAAAGAAUUGAUGAGUGGCUGUGAGAGACAGCGUGAGUAUGUUGGAAUGUGUUACCGUUUGGUUUUCAUACUCAUUGCAUGUAUUGGAAUUUGGUAAACAGUUGCUGUUUUUACCAAAGUGUAGAACAAUUGCGAUUUGACUAUGAAUUGUUAAUAAUUUAUUAAUAAAAUGUGUUUAAAAGUGUUUUAAAAUGUUAAAAGAAGUGUACAAAGUGCGGGCAAGUGAAAAGUAUAGUGCAGUGAAAAAGUGUGUUAAAGCACUUAAAAGAGUUUGUGUGCGAAAGUUAAUUGGCAUGCAAAUUGUUUGUGCAGUCGGUACGUGUUCGUUUCAUGCGUACAUGCAACGACAUGACGCAGCAGGCAAAUACUUAUGUAUGUAAAUAAAAAUGAAAUAAAUUUAAAUAUUAUAUGCAGAACUUAAUAGAAGUCAAAAGAGAUAUGAAAAUAAAAUGUGAUAAACAUCGAAAAUUAAUACA